CUGGCCUGGAAGGGAGCAGCGAUAAAUAGCGCCGCUGCCGUAGCUAGCC
This 49-nucleotide non-coding RNA is filed under the name uncultured Bolidomonas. The record is from RNAcentral. Lineage: Eukaryota; Bolidophyceae.